Molecule: unclassified non-coding RNA, 496 nt
Filed under: Hevea brasiliensis (rubber tree)
Lineage: Eukaryota; Viridiplantae; Streptophyta; Magnoliopsida; Malpighiales; Euphorbiaceae
Source: RNAcentral
AGCUUGAACAGUAGCAGUAGUUUAGUACUAGUUUUAGUUCUUCAAUUCAGUUUUAGUUUAUGCUUUAGGUUUGUUUUGUAAUCUGUUUAUUUUAAUUUUCAAACUUUAGUCAUAGUUGUAAUACUUUGGUAAUUAGUUUUUAUGAUUACAUUUGCACUUCUUUCCUUUAGUUUAGUUUAUUUUAUUUUAUCUUCUAAUAUGGAUAUAGUUAUUCUAUGAAUGCUCUUUGGUUUAAUUCUUGAUUUAACUGUUAGAUCUUAUUUCAUUACACCUUUUCAUCUUCUUGCACAUUAUUUUUUGUACUUUAUCUUUUAUUCAGUCCUAAUUUUGUUGAUAUUGAUGAGUUGUACAAUUUACUUUGAGCUGCAUAUGUUUAACAUCAUUUUGAGGUAAUAGCUUAUCCUUCUAUUAUUUAUGCUUAUGGUAUGUUGUCAAUGCUUAUGCUUUUGCUUACCCUACGCAACGGAUUAAACAACAUCUUAAGCAGUGUAAAUUC